This 466-nucleotide ribosomal RNA is filed under the name uncultured bacterium. Its description in RNAcentral is "partial 16S ribosomal RNA". It matches the Rfam family "Bacterial small subunit ribosomal RNA", at positions 38 to 507 of the family's 1533-position model. The record is from RNAcentral.
GGGGGGGGGGGGGGGCGGGGUUGGGACGUGCGGGGCGGGGGGAAGGGCCGCAGCUGGCUGGGGGGGUCGGGGGGCGAACGGGUGAGGAGGGCGGGGGUGCUGUGCGGUGUGCUUCGGGAUGGGCGUGGGAACCUGGGGCUACUGCCUGUGAGCGGUCACCGGUGGGUGUGUGGUUGGAGAGCUUUUGCGGGAUGGGAUGAGCUCGCGGCCUAUCAGCUUGUUGGUGGGGUAGUGGCCUACCACGGCGUCGACGGGUAGCCGGCCUGAGAGGUUGUACGGCCACAUUGGGACUGAGAUACGGCCCAGACUCCUACGGGAGGCAGCAGUGGGGAAUAUUGCACAAUGGGCGCAAGCCUGAUGCAGCGACGCCGCGUGGGGGAUGACGGCCUUCGGGUUGUAAACUCCUUUCGUCAGGGACGAAGCGAAAGUGACGGUACCUGGAUAAGAAGCACCGGCUAACUACGUG